RNAcentral lists this ribosomal RNA (402 nucleotides) under uncultured bacterium. RNAcentral's name for it is "bacterial SSU rRNA". It matches the Rfam family "Bacterial small subunit ribosomal RNA", at positions 362 to 757 of the family's 1533-position model. The record is from RNAcentral.
UUUUGGACAAUGGGGGCAACCCUGAUCCAGCAAUGCCGCGUGAGUGAAGAAGGCCUUCGGGUUGUAAAGCUCUUUUGUCAGGGAAGAAACAGCAGCUCUAACACAGUCUGCGAAUGACGGUACCUGAAGAAUAAGCACCGGCUAACUACGUGCCAGCAGCCGCGGUAAUACGUAGGGUGCGAGCGUUAAUCGGAAUUACUGGGCGUAAAGCGUGCGCAGGCGGUUAUACAAGACAGGCGUGAAAUCCCCGGGCUUAACCUGGGAAUGGCGCCUGUGACUGUAUAGCUAGAGUGUGUCAGAGGGGGGUAGAAUUCCACGUGUAGCAGUGAAAUGCGUAGAUAUGUGGAGGAAUACCAAUGGCGAAGGCAGCCCCCUGGGAUAACACUGACGCUCAUGCACGAA